AGUGACGGUACUACAAGCACGGGUCCUGCAAGGACUUCCACAACAACUCCCACUCCCACGACGACGACGACGACGACGUCGUCUUCGAUUGCACAACGUCAAUUUUUUAAAAUCAUGGCGGCACAGAAACGACGGCUGGCAGCAGCAGCAGCGAAUUCGGACAACUAUACGAACA
Molecule: non-coding RNA, 175 nt
Filed under: uncultured Nitzschia
Lineage: Eukaryota; Bacillariophyta; Bacillariophyceae; Bacillariales; Bacillariaceae
Source: RNAcentral